UAUGAAUUAGCAAUUUUAAUUCAAACAGUAACUUUUCGACAUGAAAAAAAAUUGUUAAAUUAAAACUUCAUACCUAAACAAUUGAAAUCCAUUGUUGGAUUCCUUGAAGAAGACAAGAGAUAGAAAUGAAAAAAGAGAAGAGAAGGGCAGUAGAUUAAAGAAAGAAAAAUAGGGCGGAGGAAAAAAUACACACAAAGAGAGAGACAAAAAAAGAGAGACGGGGGAGAGAAAGAGAGAAAUUGAUAGGGUAUCAAUUAUUACCUAUUUAACUGUCUAUAAUUAAGGGAUAAUCAUUUAUAAUUAAUANNN
This 309-nucleotide long non-coding RNA is filed under the name Nicotiana benthamiana. RNAcentral's name for it is "long non-coding RNA (NBEN_LNC034749)". Lineage: Eukaryota; Viridiplantae; Streptophyta; Magnoliopsida; Solanales; Solanaceae. The record is from RNAcentral.